RNAcentral lists this ribosomal RNA (253 nucleotides) under uncultured bacterium. RNAcentral describes it as "partial 16S ribosomal RNA". It matches the Rfam family "Bacterial small subunit ribosomal RNA", at positions 524 to 776 of the family's 1533-position model. The record is from RNAcentral.
UACGUAGGGGGCUAGCGUUGUCCGGAAUCAUUGGGCGUAAAGCGCGUGUAGGCGGUCCGGUAAGUCCGCUGUGAAAGUCGGGGGCUCAACCCUCGGAUGCCGGUGGAUACUGUCGGGCUUGAGUACGGAAGAGGCGAGUGGAAUUCCCGGUGUAGCGGUGAAAUGCGCAGAUAUCGGGAGGAACACCGAUGGCGAAGGCAGCCCCCUGGGUUAACACUGACGCUCAGGCACGAAAGCGUGGGGAGCAAACAGG